This 604-nucleotide ribosomal RNA is filed under the name Acinetobacter baumannii. RNAcentral describes it as "partial 23S ribosomal RNA". It matches the Rfam family "Bacterial large subunit ribosomal RNA", at positions 667 to 1270 of the family's 2925-position model. Lineage: Bacteria; Pseudomonadati; Pseudomonadota; Gammaproteobacteria; Moraxellales; Moraxellaceae. The record is from RNAcentral.
CGUAGAGAAAUCGAGUCUUAAUAGGGCGUUUAGUUGCUGGGUAUAGACCCGAAACCAGGCGAUCUAUCCAUGAGCAGGUUGAAGGUUGGGUAACACUAACUGGAGGACCGAACCCACUGUCGUUGAAAAGCCAGGGGAUGACUUGUGGAUAGGGGUGAAAGGCUAAUCAAGCCUGGUGAUAGCUGGUUCUCCCCGAAAGCUAUUUAGGUAGCGCCUCGGACGAAUACCAUAGGGGGUAGAGCACUGUUUCGGCUAGGGGGUCAUCCCGACUUACCAAACCGAUGCAAACUCCGAAUACCUAUGAGUACUAUCCGGGAGACAGACUGCGGGUGCUAACGUCCGUAGUCAAGAGGAAAACAAUCCAGACCGCCAGCUAAGGCCCCAAAAUCAUAGUUAAGUGGGAAACGAUGUGGGAAGGCAUAGACAGCUAGGAGGUUGGCUUAGAAGCAGCCACCCUUUAAAGAAAGCGUAAUAGCUCACUAGUCGAGUCGGCCUGCGCGGAAGAUGUAACGGGGCUAAAACUAUGUGCCGAAGCUGCGGAUGUAUACUUUGUAUACGUGGUAGGGGAGCGUUCUGUAAGCCGAUGAAGGUGUGUUGAGAAGCA